This is a long non-coding RNA of Schistocerca gregaria, 937 nucleotides long. RefSeq lists it as uncharacterized. Lineage: Eukaryota; Metazoa; Arthropoda; Insecta; Orthoptera; Acrididae. The transcript is spliced from 2 exons. The record is from RefSeq and is a predicted model, not a curated record.
CGCCCUCUUUGACAAGGCCGUUGGCGGAAUGAGGCUGACUUCUUAUGCUGGAAGUCUUCGGCCGCCAAUGCUGAUUAUUUAUCAAAAUUUAGGCAGUGGCAGGGAUUGAACCCGGGACCGAAGACGUUUUGAUUAUGAAUCAAAGACGCUACCCCUAGACCACGGGUCUACCCGAUGCUUAUGUAUACAUAGAACAGCGUUCCUGCCACACAUCCCUGGUGAUCUCCAUGUGAUACCAUUGUCUAGUUUGAAAGCUUGCCAUCUGGGACAACAUACUGGGUUCUGUCACUUAAAAAGUUCUUGAGGUACCUAUAUAUCUGAGAGACUAUUCCGUAUGCUUGGAUCUUCAUUAACGCUGUGAGAAACACUUUCUUGAGAUCUGGGAAUAUGGAUUACACAUUUUGUCCUUCACCCAUGGUUCGCAGUAUAUCAUAAAGAAAAGGACAAGCUGAGUUUCAUACGAGUGAUGCUUUUUAAAUAUGCACUGAUUUGUGGACAAAAGCUUUUCUUUCUCAAGGCAAUAUAUCAUAUUCAGGCUUACAAUAUGCUCCAGAAUUCCGCUGCAAACUCAUGUUGAGGAUAUCGGUUCAUAAUUUUGCAGGUUGGUACUUUCACUCUUCUUGAAUAUGGGAAGCACCUGUGCUUGUUUCCAGUCCCUUGGGUCUCUGCGCUGUGUGAGAGGCUGAUGAUAAAUGCAAGGUCAAAAACAUAUAUUUGGGAAAAUCGGUCUGAAGAGGAACAAACCAGAAAGGAGAGGAUGAAGGAAAGACAUCCAAAACCAGAAUGGAUAAGGAUCCCAAGCCAUGUGUCUGGUGGGACCAACAAUGUCAAGGGGUUAGAUUAUAUCUACAUCAAGAAAAACAACAUGGAAAACACCUCAUAAACUUCUUCUGUAUCUAAAGUUCAUCAAAAUAUACAAUGUGGUUCGUCAGUCUCA